This 440-nucleotide ribosomal RNA is filed under the name uncultured bacterium. RNAcentral describes it as "partial 16S ribosomal RNA". It matches the Rfam family "Bacterial small subunit ribosomal RNA", at positions 338 to 795 of the family's 1533-position model. The record is from RNAcentral.
CCUACGGGUGGCAGCAGUGGGGAAUAUUGCACAAUGGGGGAAACUCUGAUGCAGCGACGCCGCGUGCGUGAAGAAGUAAUUCGUUAUGUAAAGCUCUAUCAGCAGGGAAGAAAAUGACGGUACCUGAGUAAGAAGCCCCGUCUAACUACGUGCCAGCAGCCGCGGUAAUACGUAGGGGGCAAGCGUUAUCCGGAUUUACUGGGUGUAAGGGGAGUGUAGACGGGAGUGUAAGUCGGGAGUGAAAGGCGGGGGCUCAACCCCCGGACUGCACUGGAAACUGUACGGCUGGAGUGCAGGAGAGGUAGGUGGAAUUCCUGGUGUAGCGGUGAAAUGCGUAGAUAUUAGGAGGAACACCAGUGGCGAAGGCGGCUGACUGGACUGUAACUGACGUUGAGGCUCGAAAGCGUGGGGAGCAAACAGGAUUAGAUACCCUGGUAGUC